UACGUAGGGAGCAAGCGUUAUCCGGAUUUAUUGGGUGUAAAGGGUGCGUAGACGGGAAUUUAAGUUAGUUGUGAAAUCCCUCGGCUUAACUGAGGAGCUGCAACUAAAACUGAAUUUCUUGAGUGCGGGAGAGGAAAGUGGAAUUCCUAGUGUAGCGGUGAAAUGCGUAGAUAUUAGGAGGAACACCAGUGGCGAAGGCGACUUUCUGGACCGUAACUGACGUUGAGGCACGAAAGUGUGGGGAGCAAACAGG
Molecule: ribosomal RNA, 253 nt
Filed under: uncultured bacterium
Lineage: Bacteria
Description: partial 16S ribosomal RNA
Rfam family: Bacterial small subunit ribosomal RNA
Source: RNAcentral